RNAcentral lists this ribosomal RNA (407 nucleotides) under uncultured Glomeromycotina. RNAcentral's name for it is "SSU rRNA". It matches the Rfam family "Eukaryotic small subunit ribosomal RNA", at positions 670 to 1078 of the family's 1831-position model. Lineage: Eukaryota; Fungi; Glomeromycota. The record is from RNAcentral.
UCGGUAUGUACUGGCUUUACUGAUUCCUCCUUCUUGACGAACCGUGAUGUCAUUAAUUUGAUGUUGCGGGAAAUCAGGACUGUUACUUUGAAAAAAUUAGAGUGUUUAAAGCAGGCUAACGCUUGAAUACAUUAGCAUGGAAUAAUGAAAUAGGACGUUAAUCCUAUUUUGUUGGUUUCUAGGAUCGACGUAAUGAUUAAUAGGGAUAGUUGGGGGCAUUAGUAUUCAAUUGUCAGAGGUGAAAUUCUUGGAUUUAUUGAAGACUAACUACUGCGAAAGCAUUUGCCAAGGAUGUUUUCAUUAAUCAAGAACGAAAGUUAGGGGAUCGAAGACGAUCAGAUACCGUCGUAGUCUUAACCAUAAACUAUGCCAACAAGGGAUCGGAUGAUGUUAUUUUUAAGGGCUCA